Molecule: transfer RNA, 84 nt
Filed under: Dactylosporangium siamense
Lineage: Bacteria; Bacillati; Actinomycetota; Actinomycetes; Micromonosporales; Micromonosporaceae
Description: tRNA-Val
Source: RNAcentral
CAGCUGCAGGGUGGGCACGACCACGUCGUCGACGUCGUUGUGGCGCCCGACGACCGUGGCCGGUUCCAGGCCGGCGCGGCUGGC